GGUUGGUAAUGGGACUGGUGGAUAGGGGAAGGGUUGGUAAUGGGACUGGUGGAUAGGGUAAGGAUUGGUAAUGGGACUGGUGGAUAGGGGAAGGAUUGGUAAUGGGACUGGUGGAUAGGGGAAGGAUUGGUAAUGGGACUGGUGGAUAAGGGAAGGAUUAGUAAUGGGACUGGUGGAUAGGGGAAGGAUUGGUAAUGGGACUGGUGGAUAGGGGAAGGAUUGGUAAUGGGACUGGUUGAUAGGGGAAGGGUUGGUAAUGGGACUGGUGGAUAGGGGAAGGGUUGGUAAAGGGACUGGUGGAUAGGAGAAGGGUUGGUAAUGGGACUGGUGGAUAGGGGAAGGGUUGGUAAUGGGACUGGUGGAUAGGUGAAGGGUUGGUAAUGGGACUGGUGGAUAGGGGAAGGGUUGGUAAUGGGACUGGUGGAUAGGAGAAGGAUUGGUAAUGGGACUGGUGGAUAGGGGAAGGAUUGGUAAUGGGACUGGUGGAUAGGGGAAGGGUUGGUAAUGGGACUGGUGGAUUGGGGAAGGGUUGGUAAUGGGACUGGUGGAUAGGGGAAGGAUUGGUAAUGGGACUGGUGGAUAGGGAAAGGAUUGGUAAUGGGACUGGUGGAUAGGGGAAGGAUUGGUAAUGGGACUGGUGGAUAGGGGAAGGGUUGGUAAUGGGACAGGUGGAUAGGGGAAGGAUUGGUAAUGGGACUGGUGGAUAGGGUAAGGAUUGGUAAUGGGACUGGUGGAUAGGGGAAGGGUUGGUAAUGGGACUGGUGGAUAGGGGAAGGGUUGGUAAUGGGACUGGUGGAUAGGGGAAGGAUUGGUAAUGGGACUGGUGGAUAGGGGAAGGAUUGGUAAUGGGACUGGUGGAUAGGGGAAGGAUUGGUAAUGGGACUGGUGGAUAGGGGAAGGGUUGGUAAUGGGACUGGUUGAUAGGGGAAGGGUUGGUAAUGGGACUGGUGGAUAGGGGAAGGGUUGGUAAUGGGACUGGUGGAUAGGGGAAGGUUUGGUAAUGGGACUGGUGGAUAGGGGAAGGGUUGGUAAUGGGACUGGUGGAUAGGGGAAGGGUUGGUAAUGGGACUGGUGGAUAGGGGAAGGGUUGGUAAUGGGACUGGUGGAUAGGGGAAGGGUUGGUAAUGGGACUGGUGGAUAGGGGAAGGGUUGGUAAUGGGACUGGUGGAUAGGGGAAGGGUUGGUAAUGGGACUGGUGGGUAGGGGAAGGAUUGGUAAUGGGACUGGUGGAUAGGGGAAGGAUUGGUAAUGGGACUGGUGGAUAGGGGAAGGGUUGGUAAUGGGACUGGUGGAUAGCGGAAGGAUUGGUAAUGGGACUGGUGGAUAGGGGAAGGGUUGUUAAUGGGACUGGUGGAUAGGGGAAGGAUUGGUAAUGGGACAGGUGGAUAGGGGAAGGGUUGGUAAUGGGACUGGUGGAUAGGGGAAGGAUUGGUAAUGGGACAGGUGGAUAGGGGAAGGAUUGGUAAUGGGACUGAUGGAUAGGGGAAGGGUUGGUAAUGGGACUGG
Long non-coding RNA from Eriocheir sinensis (Chinese mitten crab), 1506 nucleotides. RefSeq lists it as uncharacterized. The transcript is spliced from 3 exons. Lineage: Eukaryota; Metazoa; Arthropoda; Malacostraca; Decapoda; Varunidae. The record is from RefSeq and is a predicted model, not a curated record.